RNAcentral lists this long non-coding RNA (779 nucleotides) under Dermacentor andersoni. RNAcentral describes it as "uncharacterized LOC126543015". Lineage: Eukaryota; Metazoa; Arthropoda; Arachnida; Ixodida; Ixodidae. The record is from RNAcentral.
AUGGUGUAACUGGUGUAGUAGAACCACCACUAAGCAUGUGUUGGAAGUCCAGUGCUUAAGUUAGAAUAAACUACCCGGUUAUCUUUUUCCACAGCUACAAGUAAACAAAAGCUGAAGCGGCCUUCGAGUGUCAAGUGUGGAAAAAGGUGUUUUGCGGCAAUGGCUGUGACUGAAGACAACACAGGUGUGUAUGUGGUUUUCCAAUUCAAGCACAGAGGCCACGACUUUGAACUGGGUCGUGUUUUUCUGUCCAAGUCUGAAAGAGCUGCUAUUGCUGACAAGCUGCGAGAAGGCGUGUCCAUGGAUGCAGUACUGGAUAAUGUGCGGUCCAACGUGGAUGAGACAUUCCACCGCGUUAACCUGUUAAGCAAGCGGGAUCUCCGCAAAAUAAUGAGGGAUGCCAGAGUCUCGAAGACCGAGCGGCUGCACGAUAAUGACUAUGUGAGCGUGCAACUCUGGGUUGAGAGGAUGCAUAGUGAAAAGGAAAACCCAUUGCUCUUCUUUAAACACCAAGGACAACCUGACAAAAAGUGCCAUUUUUUUAGAGAAAAAAAAUGAGGACCUUUUGGAUGACAGAGAUUUUAUGCUAGUCAUCAUUACCACACCACAACAGGAGCUUUUCAAGAGGCUUGGAACUGAUCGUAUAUGUGUCGAUCGAACACGUGGAACAGCAGGUGAGCAGUACUAUAUAAAUGCAUUAAUAAUAAAAGCAAGAAAGAGGGAAUGCUGUCCGAGAAUAAUUGCAAUAGAUAUGAUGAGUAGUAUUCCUUCACACAUGA